This 530-nucleotide ribosomal RNA is filed under the name uncultured bacterium. RNAcentral's name for it is "bacterial SSU rRNA". It matches the Rfam family "Bacterial small subunit ribosomal RNA", at positions 777 to 1300 of the family's 1533-position model. The record is from RNAcentral.
AAUAGAUACCCGGGUAGUCCUAGCCGUAAACGAUGAGCACUGGGUUGAAGGGUCCUCCAUAGCCUUUCAGCCGCAGCGAAAGUGUUAAGUGCUCCGCCUAGGGAGUAUGGUCGCAAGGCUGAAACUCAAAGAAAUUGACGGGGGCUCACACAAGCGGUGGAGGAUGUGGCUUAAUUCGAGGCUACGCGAAGAACCUUAUCCUAGUCUUGACAUGCACGGAUUAACUCCCUGAAAGGGGAGCCAGGCCUUCGGGUACAACGUGCACAGGUGCUGCAUGGCUGUCGUCAGCUCGUGCUGUGAAGUGUCGGGUUAAGUCCCUUAACGAGCGAAACCCUUGUCGCUAGUUGCCAGCGAGUCAUGUCGGGGACUCUAGCGAGACCGCCGGCGUUAAGCCGGAGGAAGGCGGGGAUGACGUCAAGUCCUCAUGGCCUUUAUGACUAGGGCUGCACACGUCCUACAAUGGCGCGCACAAAGGGAUGCAAAAUCGCGAGAUCAAGCAAAUCCCAAAAAACGCGCCCCAGUUCGGAUUG